Molecule: unclassified non-coding RNA, 67 nt
Filed under: Borna disease virus rescue plasmid pBRT7-HrBDVc
Also listed under: 1 other name
Source: RNAcentral
GUUGUUAACGCAACACUGAUGAGGCCGAAAGGCCGAAACUCCGUAAGGAGUCUGUUGCGUUAACAAC